RNAcentral lists this ribosomal RNA (253 nucleotides) under uncultured bacterium. Its description in RNAcentral is "partial 16S ribosomal RNA". It matches the Rfam family "Bacterial small subunit ribosomal RNA", at positions 524 to 776 of the family's 1533-position model. The record is from RNAcentral.
UACGGAGGGUGCAAGCGUUAUCCGGAUUUACUGGGUUUAAAGGGUGCGUAGGUGGACAGGAAAGUCAGUGGUGAAAUCUUCGAGCUUAACUCGGAAACUGCCAUUGAUACUAUUUGUCUUGAAUACUUUGGAGGUAAGCGGAAUAUGUCAUUUAGCGUUGAAAUGCUUAGAUAUGACAUAGAACACCAAUUUCGAAGGCAGCUUACUACACAGUUAUUUACACUGAGGCACGAAAGCGUGGUGAUCAAACAGG